This 406-nucleotide ribosomal RNA is filed under the name uncultured bacterium. RNAcentral's name for it is "partial 16S ribosomal RNA". It matches the Rfam family "Bacterial small subunit ribosomal RNA", at positions 30 to 526 of the family's 1533-position model. The record is from RNAcentral.
AUUGAACGCUGGCGGCAGGCUUAACACAUGCAAGUCGAGCGAGCGGCGGACGGGUGAGUAAUGUCUGGGAAACUGCCUGAUGGAGGGGGAUAACUACUGGAAACUGUAGCUAAUACCGCAUACCAUCAGAUGUGCCCAGAUGGGAUUAGCUAGUAGGUGGGGUAAUGGCUCACCUAGGCGACGAUCCCUAGCUGGUCUGAGAGGAUGACAAGCCACACUGGAACUGAGACACGGUCCAGAAUCCUACGGGAGGCAGCAGUGGGGAAUAUUGCACAAUGGGCGAAAGCCUGAUGCAGCCAUGCCGCGUGUAUGAAGAAGGCCUUAGGGUUGUAAAGUACUUUCAGCGGGGAGGCGUUACCAGCAGAAGAAGCACCGGCUAACUCCGUGCCAGCAGCCGCGGUAAUAC